AUUGAACGCUGGCGGCAGGCCUAACACAUGCAAGUCGAGCGGUAGCACAGAGAGCUUGCUCUCGGGUGACGAGCGGCGGACGGGUGAGUAAUGUCUGGGAAACUGCCUGAUGGAGGGGGAUAACUACUGGAAACGGUAGCUAAUACCGCAUAACGUCGCAAGACCAAAGUGGGGGACCUUCGGGCCUCAUGCCAUCAGAUGUGCCCAGAUGGGAUUAGCUAGUAGGUGGGGUAACGGCUCACCUAGGCGACGAUCCCUAGCUGGUCUGAGAGGAUGACCAGCCACACUGGAACUGAGACACGGUCCAGACUCCUACGGGAGGCAGCAGUGGGGAAUAUUGCACAAUGGGCGCAAGCCUGAUGCAGCCAUGCCGCGUGUGUGAAGAAGGCCUUCGGGUUGUAAAGCACUUUCAGCGGGGAGGAAGGCGUUAAGGUUAAUAACCUUGGCGAUUGACGUUACCCGCAGAAGAAGCACCGGCUAACUCCGUGCCAGCAGCCGCGGUAAUACGGAGGGUGCAAGCGUUAAUCGGAAUUACUGGGCGUAAAGCGCACGCAGGCGGUCUGUCAAGUCGGAUGUGAAAUCCCCGGGCUCAACCUGGGAACUGCAUUCGAAACUGGCAGGCUAGAGUCUUGUAGAGGGGGGUAGAAUUCCAGGUGUAGCGGUGAAAUGCGUAGAGAUCUGGAGGAAUACCGGUGGCGAAGGCGGCCCCCUGGACAAAGACUGACGCUCAGGUGCGAAAGCGUGGGGAGCAAACAGGAUUAGAUACCCUGGUAGUCCACGCCGUAAACGAUGUCGAUUUGGAGGUUGUGCCCUUGAGGCGUGGCUUCCGGAGCUAACGCGUUAAAUCGACCGCCUGGGGAGUACGGCCGCAAGGUUAAAACUCAAAUGAAUUGACGGGGGCCCGCACAAGCGGUGGAGCAUGUGGUUUAAUUCGAUGCAACGCGAAGAACCUUACCUGGUCUUGACAUCCACAGAACUUUCCAGAGAUGGAUUGGUGCCUUCGGGAACUGUGAGACAGGUGCUGCAUGGCUGUCGUCAGCUCGUGUUGUGAAAUGUUGGGUUAAGUCCCGCAAUGAGCGCAACCCUUAUCCUUUGUUGCCAGCGGUUAGGCCGGGAACUCAAAGGAGACUGCCAGUGAUAAACUGGAGGAAGGUGGGGAUGACGUCAAGUCAUCAUGGCCCUUACGACCAGGGCUACACACGUGCUACAAUGGCAUAUACAAAGAGAAGCGACCUCGCGAGAGCAAGCGGACCUCAUAAAGUAUGUCGUAGUCCGGAUUGGAGUCUGCAACUCGACUCCAUGAAGUCGGAAUCGCUAGUAAUCGUAGAUCAGAAUGCUACGGUGAAUACGUUCCCGGGCCU
Molecule: ribosomal RNA, 1361 nt
Filed under: uncultured bacterium
Lineage: Bacteria
Description: bacterial SSU rRNA
Rfam family: Bacterial small subunit ribosomal RNA
Source: RNAcentral